AUGGCUCAGGAUGAACGCUGGCGGCGUGCCUAACACAUGCAAGUCGAACGGGGUUAAGUGAAAUUUCGGAUGGAGCUUAACUUAGUGGCGGACGGGUGAGUAACGCGUGGAUAACCUGCCUCACACUGGGGGAUAGCAGCUGGAAACGGCUGGUAAUACCGCAUAAGACCACAGCACCGCAUGGUGCAGGGGUAAAAGAUUUAUCGGUGUGAGAUGGAUCCGCGUCUGAUUAGCCAGUUGGCGGGUAACGGCCCACCAAAGCGACGAUCAGUAGCCGGCCUGAGAGGGUGAACGGCCACAUUGGGACUGAGACACGGCCCAAACUCCUACGGGAGGCAGCAGUGGGGAAUAUUGCACAAUGGGCGCGAGCCUGAUGCAGCAACGCCCGCGUGAGUGAAGAAGUAUUUCGGUAUGUAAAGCUCUAUCGGCAGGGAAGAAAGGCCCUUAACAGGGAGAUGACGGUACCUGACUAAGAAGCCCCGGCUAACUACGUGCCAGCAGCGGC
RNAcentral lists this ribosomal RNA (505 nucleotides) under uncultured bacterium. RNAcentral's name for it is "bacterial SSU rRNA". It matches the Rfam family "Bacterial small subunit ribosomal RNA", at positions 19 to 518 of the family's 1533-position model. The record is from RNAcentral.